RNAcentral lists this ribosomal RNA (245 nucleotides) under uncultured Thauera sp. Its description in RNAcentral is "partial 16S ribosomal RNA". It matches the Rfam family "Bacterial small subunit ribosomal RNA", at positions 1137 to 1382 of the family's 1533-position model. The record is from RNAcentral. Lineage: Bacteria; Pseudomonadati; Pseudomonadota; Betaproteobacteria; Rhodocyclales; Zoogloeaceae.
ACUCUAGUGAGACUGCCGGUGACAAACCGGAGGAAGGUGGGGAUGACGUCAAGUCCUCAUGGCCCUUAUGGGUAGGGCUUCACACGUCAUACAAUGGUCGGUACAGAGGGUUGCCAAGCCGCGAGGUGGAGCCAAUCCUUAAAGCCGAUCGUAGUCCGGAUCGUAGUCUGCAACUCGACUACGUGAAGUCGGAAUCGCUAGUAAUCGCAGAUCAGCAUGCUGCGGUGAAUACGUUCCCGGGUCUU